RNAcentral lists this ribosomal RNA (460 nucleotides) under uncultured bacterium. Its description in RNAcentral is "partial 16S ribosomal RNA". It matches the Rfam family "Bacterial small subunit ribosomal RNA", at positions 338 to 795 of the family's 1533-position model. The record is from RNAcentral.
CCUACGGGAGGCAGCAGUGAGGAAUAUUGGUCAAUGGACGAGAGUCUGAACCAGCCAAGUAGCGUGAAGGAUGACUGCCCUAUGGGUUGUAAACUUCUUUUAUAUGGGAAUAAAACGUUCCACGUGUGGGAUUUUGUAUGUACCCUAUGAAUAAGGAUCGGCUAACUCCGUGCCAGCAGCCGCGGUAAUACGGAGGAUCCGAGCGUUAUCCGGAUUUAUUGGGUUUAAAGGGAGCGUAGGUGGAUUGUUAAGUCAGUUGUGAAAGUUUGCGGCUCAACCGUAAAAUUGCAGUUGAAACUGGCAGUCUUGAGUACAGUAGAGGUGGGCGGAAUGCGUGGUGUAGCGGUGAAAUGCUUAGAUAUCACGAAGAACUCCGAUUGCGAAGGCAGUUCACUGGACUGAAACUGACACUGAGGCUCGAAAGUGUGGGUAUCAAACAGGAUUAGAUACCCUUGUAGUC